RNAcentral lists this ribosomal RNA (288 nucleotides) under uncultured bacterium. RNAcentral describes it as "partial 16S ribosomal RNA". It matches the Rfam family "Bacterial small subunit ribosomal RNA", at positions 775 to 1067 of the family's 1533-position model. The record is from RNAcentral.
GGAUUAGAUACCCUGGUAGUCCACGCUGUAAACGAUGAUCACUAGAUGUUCGGACUUCGGUCUGAGUGUCCAAGCGAAAGCGAUAAGUGAUCCACCUGGGGAGUACGUUCGCAAGAAUGAAACUCAAAGGAAUUGACGGGGGCCCGCACAAGCGGUGGAGCAUGUGGUUUAAUUCGAUGAUACGCGAGGAACCUUACCUGGGCUACAAUGCCUCUGACAGACGCCGAAAGGUGUUUUUCCUUCGGGACAGAGUGCAAGGUGCUGCAUGGUUGUCGUCAGCUCGUGCCG